CGACAACACAAACCCUCGGAAGCCAGCCUGAGGACACCGUAGAUCUUCCGUUCCAUUUAGGCCUAAAUACACAAAAAUCUGGCGCGAUAAUAACCUUACCUACGCUAGAAACGGUGCCGGUUUUAAGGCUGCCAAGGCCGACGGCGUAAAAAGUUAUUUUAUUUUAUUUUAUUAUUUUUUUUAAUUCGAUCCACACGUGACAGUGUUUCUAAUUAUUUUUUAUGUAUUCCGGGUUUCCAUUUUUUAUGGGAUUCUCCAAAACACUUUUGACAUGGCGGAAUCAGGCACAAGAGAAAACGUGCUCAUCACGGAAAUUAUGGACCCCUACGAGCGCGCCGUAAAGUAUAUGGAAAGUCACAACAUUCUGCAGAUCUUUGAAGAAAUCAUAGAGAAUCUGGCUUAUGACAGACCAGAUGACCCCCUACAGUUUAUGCUAGAAAAGGUACAGAAAAUGAUCCGAUCCCGGCAGGAGUCAAACAAGAAAACUGAGAAACCUGAAUAUGUUUCUCAGAAGUAGGACUCUACAAAACACAUUAAAGACCACAUUAAACCUAUAUUUGUAUACUGGUAUUAUUUUACUUGGGUAGCAAUGAUAGUUGAUGAAACUACUCAGCUAUGUUUAGUUUAUCUUGUUUUCUUGAACAACAUUUGAUAUAAUUUUAUGAGAAAUGUUACUUGUAUUUGCAUCAAUGAAGAGGGAAAAUGGUACUUACCUUAUUUUUUCAAACUAGCAUCACAAUUUUGGCCACAGUACCCCCAUGAGCAAGAAGUGACAGUGGCAAAGAAACAAUGCAAGGAACUACAAAAUAAACACAACCAAGAUUUAUCUUUGUAUUUGAAUGCAUCAGGAUGGCUUCAUAUAUACCCAUGUGGAUGUGUGCAGGGGGGUUAGACGGGGUAGAUCUAAAGUAGUUUUGUACUAGAAAACUGGCUGUAGGUUUGCCAUAAAAAUUAAAAAAAAAAU
Long non-coding RNA from Electrophorus electricus (electric eel), 964 nucleotides. The record is from Ensembl. Lineage: Eukaryota; Metazoa; Chordata; Actinopteri; Gymnotiformes; Gymnotidae.